GCAGCCUGUAGAAGCGCUUGUUUCGCCCCGUCACAUAGUAUUUUUAUAGAAUGGAGUGUGGCAUCAUCUGUUAGCAAAAAAAAAGUAUCGGUGGACGGAUUGGCCCAGUUUAUCCUUCCCGGAUCCGGGGUUCGGUGGAAAAUGUAGACGGGUCCUGGGUCCAUCCAUCCUUUCCGCCAAACUGACCGAAACUGUUAAGUGUAUUUCGGAAUAUCGUUAAUUAAUGGUGAAGGGAAUAACGGCCGCCAUCGAGCGCCCCUUAGCCAUUCGAUCCCCGUGGUAAAAUCGAGGUUAAAAGUAGCGAACCGUUUUCUUUUCCCUAUAGGGACCUUCGAAUGCUAUUUAAACUGCGUGGGAACAGUCAGAUUAAUCACUUAAGUUAACCAUAUAGUCUCUAUCGACUGUUUUCCAGCUAUAGCGGAUGAUAUCGGAUGCGACUAAUAAAGGUAGGGUUUAGUCCAGCCCAGGCAGUUAGUCUUAUUUAAUACAUUUUUAUGCGGUAAAUUUAAUACUGGAUUAAAUAUAGUACUCCUGUCGAAUUAAUAGGCGGAGCUUUAUUUGUCUCUAGGGUAUGAACGUUCUGUGGUCUUUCGGUGAGAAUUUUAAUUUUUGAAUAAGCGAUCUUUACGUGUCUUAAACUGCGUAGCUAGCCGGGAUAAAUAAUUCCAUUCUUGCGUCAUCUAUCUUUCGGCUACGGAGUUACGUAAUUUUACCCGACCCAACGAAUUAGCUACGGUAACCAUCCGUUACACGGAGUAGAGCCCCAUCUUCACCGAUAAAUAGAAACCUGGUUCGGAAGAACGAAGAACCGUAUCUGGACAGUAUAGAAAGGAAUAGGAAGAUACGGAGGCGCGUUAAUCGCUUCGUAGCUGGUUCAGGUGUUUUUACUUUCUUAUCGGUCCGUUUUCCGUACCGCCGUGACAGAAGGUGACAUCCGACAAUGGAACCUGAUCCUCCGAGCUGAAAUCCAUUGGCCACUACCGGGUAGACCGAGUGAGUGAAAUUUGUCCCGAUAGACGGCAGAAAGCUUGUCAACCCAUCGGCGUUUUAAACCGUAAGUGUGAUUCGAUAUGCCGUAUAGUUUAAUAAGUAAGCCCAGUUAGGGAAUUGUAGGGAAGACAAAGGUAGAGUAGGAGCAUAUACGCGCAUAAAAUUACGAUACCGGCGUGUAUGGCUACCUAUGUGGAAUAAAGAAAAUUAGGCGAGAAAUGUUUACUUCGGCCACCGUGACACCAGUUGGAAAGGAAGAAAACAACGCGAGUAACUAGGCUUAUUGUGUGAAACGGAUAACCGGGAUGUAAAUGAGUCUAUAGUCGGAAAUGUAGGAUGCCUCCGAGUUACGGCCAUAGUCGGAGUCAGCUGCGCUAGCUUUAUUUAUUAUCGUUUGAAUUUUAUUAUUACCGCAGCCGAUUCGGCGUUAUUCCCCGCGGUAGCGCGACUUAGUACCGUCGGGAACGAAGGAAAAUAACCCGCGGCCUUAUACUUUUUCCACCAACUAGUGGAGCUACGGAGGAAGCCACCAUAAUAAUUGCCAAUGUAAAAUAGAGGCACCAGUAAUGAUCGAUCGGGACUAAACGUGGUCGAUAGUGCGGCUUGUCGGGCCAUUCGGCGUCGCUUUCACCGCCGAUGCGAAGAAAAAUCGCCCCCGUGUCUGUCGUCCCUUAUCGACCCAACCGAUUUCUCUCCAAUAAAUAUAUUUAUUUUUAGAAAUUAAAAAUGUCAUCGAUUAGCAGGAUGGUCCCGAUGGCUUAACCAGUUCGACUACGACGGAAGCUCUCCAUUGGACUAACGCCCCACAAUUUCACUUUCAGUCUACCAGCAAAAAGCCCUUUCACGGAUAAAGUAGAAGCGCUCUAAUUUAUACCUAUUCGAUAUAGAAAUAGCGUCUAGUUGUUGGGCUAAAUUCCGAGUAAAAUAAUUCAGAUCGAUCUCCUCAUCCCUUCGUCGCUACCUUCUCGAUACUACUGGCCCUAGACCAGUGAUCUGGCCUAUAGAUAUCGGUCUCCGUCUAAUUCCGGCGCUGGGUCCUCUACGCGGAGCUACUUUGACAUAAUUUUGCCUGUCGGCCUCUCGACUUUAUUGGUUUUCCGGUAGAUCCCGACGUGGUCAUUUAGACACGAGAAAGUCGACAAGAUGGAUUCUUAUAGCACCGUCACCAGAUAAUUUUCUGUUGGUAUCGAAUAAGACGGAUAAGUUAGCAUCCGAGGAACGCUACCCUUCCUCCCAUUUUAGCUAGUGAUCAAAUACCGUAUCUAUUCAGAAACAAAACCAUUGAGCUACCGCGGAAGCGGUGGCUGGUUCCGACAGUAAAACCGAAAAUCCGGCUUUAUUCGGACCGGACGCUGUUCCAAAUGGCUCCAGAUCAGUGGUUCGGCUUUACGCUUUCGGAUAAUCGACUACGCCUUCUUCCGCAGCUCCAGUCCGUCUUUAUUAGAGUCGGUAUAGCUGGAAGACAGACGCGGAUGGUCUGUCGGUAAAACUAAUAUCUGCGAAGUAGACCAGAUCCUUUUUUCCUACGGCUCUCCUACCUCGGGGAAAAUGAGAAUAUCGUUGGGCGCUACCCGUAUGGUGGUCGAGAUGGGGAACCGAUGGCGGUCGACCACACCUGGCGCCUGGACCGGUUAAUUAGGUGGCGGAGUGGGCCAGUCAUAACUACCCCGCGUCACGUAGCGCCACUUAAGUCGCUGGCGGAUUCAAUCUUCCCACGCAAAUUUCUACCGUGGCGUGUCUACCCGCCGCUGGUCCGGGGUGUGGCCAUCGGCUUCUCUCAAAUUCUCUUUUUCCAGCGCUAGGAUUCCGUGGGUAGUUUUCUCAGUUAUCUAAAGUAGCGCUUUUUUUAUGGUUUCCCAUUGGAUGAAUACCAAAUGGCGCCAAUUCUCAAUGCCCCGUCAUCGGGCCCGGUCCCUCCCGAAAAACCCCGAAUUUUUUCGGAGAAAACGAGAAUGGAACCCGGAUUCUGCGGGAUGGAGGCUCAUAUUGUGUUCUCGACAUAAUCAAAAGAUUGUCCUCCGCUCAACUUGUAUAGGU
RNAcentral lists this long non-coding RNA (3027 nucleotides) under Androctonus crassicauda. The record is from RNAcentral. Lineage: Eukaryota; Metazoa; Arthropoda; Arachnida; Scorpiones; Buthidae.